CGGUGCGAUCAUACCAGCAAUAAUGCACCGGAUCCCAUCAGAACUUCCGAAGUUAAGCUUGCUUGGGCGAGAGCAGUACUAGGAUGGGUGACCUCCUGGGAAGUCCUCGUGUUGCACCCCUC
Molecule: ribosomal RNA, 122 nt
Filed under: Rosa chinensis
Lineage: Eukaryota; Viridiplantae; Streptophyta; Magnoliopsida; Rosales; Rosaceae
Source: RNAcentral